Molecule: ribosomal RNA, 493 nt
Filed under: Diplorchis shilinensis
Lineage: Eukaryota; Metazoa; Platyhelminthes; Monogenea; Polystomatidea; Polystomatidae
Description: partial 12S ribosomal RNA
Source: RNAcentral
GACUGAUUUGCUUGAUUUUUUUAUGAGUGACUUUAUUGUUGUUUUAUUAUUUGUUGGGGGGUUUUAUCUGUGUGAUAAUAUAUAAACUAAGAUAAUGUAUUGAAUAAUUUUAUUUUUUAAACAAGAAUUAGAUACUCUUUUAUAGAUAAAUUUAUUUGAAGUUUCUCAGUUAUAACUGAAAGAAAUUGGCAGCCAAUUAUAUCCUUCUAGGGGAGUGUGUAUUUUAAUAGAUGUUCCGCUUAUUAUUUUACUGUGUUUAUUUUGUUAGUGUAUAUCCGGUUUAGUUAUAUAAAAUAAAUGUUUUGUGUAUAAAUAAUUUUUUAAUCCAGGUCAAUAUGCUGCUUAUAAUAUAGUUAAUAUUCGCUACAUUUUAAAAAUUGUUUAAUGAGAUUUUUAUUGUUUUAGGACUUAGUAGUAUUAUAAAAUUUUAAAUAGUUUAUGAGAAUAAGGUUUAUUUGGGGCACACAUCGCCCGUCAUUUUCAAUUAUUUGUU